UUAGACAAUAUAUCGGUGGCAGAAGUGUUCUCUUUUUUUUUACAAUGGGAUUUUCCAGCGGAAACUUCACAGAGAUUUCUUGGUCAAACUGGGCGAAUGACGAUUUUGAAGGCAGGAGUCCAGAAAGGGCAAUUCGGAAGAUAUCUCAAGAAAUGUUCAAGCUUCAUCAUCAACGAAAUUGAAAAAAACAGGAGAUUUCUAUCAUUAUCAUCAUCAUUUUCAACCGAUUAUUCCUUUGGGGUCGUGAAAAUAUUGAUCAAGAUGAGGAAAAUUGAUGGCCUAAGGGAAA
Phlebotomus papatasi is the source of this 289-nucleotide long non-coding RNA. RefSeq lists it as uncharacterized. NCBI's taxonomy places the organism in Eukaryota, Metazoa, Arthropoda, Insecta, Diptera, Psychodidae. The transcript is spliced from 3 exons. The record is from RefSeq and is a predicted model, not a curated record.